This 775-nucleotide long non-coding RNA is filed under the name Trifolium pratense (red clover). RNAcentral describes it as "long non-coding RNA (TPRA_LNC007467)". The record is from RNAcentral. Lineage: Eukaryota; Viridiplantae; Streptophyta; Magnoliopsida; Fabales; Fabaceae.
AUAAAGUAUGUCUCACAUAAAAUUUAAAGACAAAAUUGUCCUACACCCACUUGAGAAUUCAGAUCUGUCACCACCUCGUCAAAUUCUCUUUCUUUCUAUCAAUAUCAUGUUUCUUCAUAUAUGAAAAAAAAUAUAUAUCUGAAGCUUUUCCUUUCUAUUAUCAUAUAUGAAAUUGAAGAAACAUAUAAUAUUUCAUCUUCUUUUUCUAUUACCCUGAAGCUUUCCAACUUUAAAAUUGGUUACAAUCAGUCUUCAAUUUCAAUCCAAAACUCUUCAAUUUCAAACUGAGAAAAGGGAACGACGACGGCAAGUCGGAGAAAAAACACAAGAAAGAUGGAAAGUUGUUUCACGGCGACAAAGAUUUGUUUCUACAGAGAUAUGGAAAAAAUAAUUGUUUUGAGAAACAAUAUUGUGAGGAGAAGAGAGACUGGGUUUUUGAUCUGUCAAAGGGAAAUUGAAAGGGUGAAGAAGAACUAGGGUAUUGUGAGAAGAGCAAUCCCGCGUUUUUGUAAAAAAAUAAUUCUGCAUAACAGAGUGGUGAUCUAUCAUGGCGGCGCUGUGGCGGAAUAUUAUUGAAAUGGAGGAGUCAUAAGAAAAAACGAGAAAGAGAAGAGAAUAUGAGGGUAAUUUAGGCAAAAUAAAAAAUAAAAACACACUUUUUUAUAUUUAUUUGACUGGAGUUAAUUUUUUCUUUGUCCAAAAUAAAAUAGGUUGGACCAACCAUCAUUUAUUACUCUUUAUCAUGUGCAUUAGGUGCACAAGUUAACAUUGCCCA